UAGGGAAUCUUCGGCAAUGGACGAAAGUCUGACCGAGCAACGCCGCGUGAGUGAAGAAGGUUUUCGGAUCGUAAAACUCUGUUGUUAGAGAAGAACAAGGACGUUAGUAACUGAACGUCCCCUGACGGUAUCUAACCAGAAAGCCACGGCUAACUACGUGCCAGCAGCCGCGGUAAUACGUAGGUGGCAAGCGUUGUCCGGAUUUAUUGGGCGUAAAGCGAGCGCAGGCGGUUUCUUAAGUCUGAUGUGAAAGCCCCCGGCUCAACCGGGGAGGGUCAUUGGAAACUGGGGGACUUGAGUGCAGAAGAGGGGAGUGGAAUUCCAUGUGUAGCAGUGAAAUGCGUAGAUAUAUGGAGGAACACCAGUGGCGAAGGAGGCUCUCUGGUCUGUAACUGACGCUGAGGCACGAAAGCGUGGGGAGCAAACAGG
RNAcentral lists this ribosomal RNA (429 nucleotides) under Gemmatimonadota bacterium. Its description in RNAcentral is "Gemmatimonadetes bacterium partial 16S ribosomal RNA". It matches the Rfam family "Bacterial small subunit ribosomal RNA", at positions 355 to 776 of the family's 1533-position model. Lineage: Bacteria; Pseudomonadati; Gemmatimonadota. The record is from RNAcentral.